GAUCCUGGCUUAGAACGAACGCUGGCGGCAUGGAUUAGGCAUGCAAGUCGAACGAAGCAGCAAUGCUUAGUGGCGCAAGGGUGAGGAACACGUGAGUGACCUACCCGCAAGUUUGGAACAGCUCCUGGAAACGGGAAUUAAUACCGGAUGUGAUCAUGAAGCUGCAUGGUUUCAUGAUUAAAGCAGCAAUGCGCUUGCGGAUGGGCUCGCGUCCCAUUAGCUAGUUGGUGAGGUAACGGCCCACCAAGGCCAUGAUGGGUAGCUGGUCUGAGAGGACGACCAGCCACACUGGGACUGAGAACUGCCCAGACUCCUACGGGAGGCUGCAGUCGAGAAUUUUGGGCAAUGGACGAAAGUCUUGACCCAGCAAUGCCGCGUGCGGGAUGAAGGUCUUCGGAUUGUAAACCGCUGUUUGGAGGGACGAAAAUUGACGGUACUUCCAGAGGAAGCCACGGCUAACUACGUGCCAGCCGCCGC
This 477-nucleotide ribosomal RNA is filed under the name uncultured bacterium. RNAcentral describes it as "bacterial SSU rRNA". It matches the Rfam family "Bacterial small subunit ribosomal RNA", at positions 15 to 518 of the family's 1533-position model. The record is from RNAcentral.